AUGCCGAAGGUUAGACUCCUUCCUACCGCA
Molecule: transfer RNA, 30 nt
Filed under: Atherina hepsetus (Mediterranean sand smelt)
Lineage: Eukaryota; Metazoa; Chordata; Actinopteri; Atheriniformes; Atherinidae
Description: partial tRNA-Thr
Source: RNAcentral